RNAcentral lists this transfer RNA (76 nucleotides) under Elusimicrobia bacterium HGW-Elusimicrobia-1. RNAcentral describes it as "tRNA-His". It matches the Rfam family "tRNA". Rfam says of the family: Transfer RNA (tRNA) molecules are approximately 80 nucleotides in length. Lineage: Bacteria; Pseudomonadati; Elusimicrobiota. The record is from RNAcentral.
GUGGCUAUAGCUCAAUGGUUAGAGCACUGGACUGUGGAUCCAGAUGUUGCGGGUUCGAGUCCCGUUAGCCACCCCA